RNAcentral lists this ribosomal RNA (478 nucleotides) under uncultured bacterium. Its description in RNAcentral is "partial 16S ribosomal RNA". It matches the Rfam family "Bacterial small subunit ribosomal RNA", at positions 28 to 507 of the family's 1533-position model. The record is from RNAcentral.
GAUGAACGCUGGCGGCGUGCUUAACACAUGCAAGUCGAACGAGAAGUGAAGACGGAAACCUUCGGGCGGAAGGCUUUAUUUCGAGUGGCGGACGGGUGAGUAACGCGUGGGUAACCUGCCUCAUACAGGGGGAUAACAGUUGGAAACGACUGUUAAUACCGCAUAAGACCACAGCACCGCAUGGUGCGGGGGUAAAAACUCCGGUGGUAUGAGAUGGACCCGCGUUCGAUUAGCCAGUUGGCGGGGUAACGGCCCUCCAAAGCGACGAUCGAUAGCCGAUCUGAGAGGAUGACCGGCCACAUUGGGACUGAGACACGGCCCAAACUCCUACGGGAAGCAGCAGUGGGGAAUAUUGCACAAUGGGGGAAACCCUGAUGCAGCGACGCCGCGUGAGUGAAGAAGUAUUUCGGUAUGUAAAGCUCUAUCAGCAGGGAAGAAAAUGACGGUACCUGAGUAAGAAGCCCCGGCUAACUACGUG